AGAGUUUGAUCCUGGCUCAGAACGAACGCUGGCGGCGUGCUUAACACAUGCAAGUCGAACGGGAUCCAGAGCUUGCUCUGGUGAGAGUGGCGCACGGGUGAGUAACGCGUGGAUAACCUGCCCUGGUAUCCGGAAUAACAUCUCGAAAGGGGUGCUAAUACCGGAUAAGCCUACGGAGCCCUCGGUCUCUGCAGGAAAAGGUGGCCUCUAUUUAUAAGCUACCGUAUCAGGAUGGGUCCGCGUACCAUUAGCUAGUUGGUGGGGUAAUGGCCUACCAAGGCUACGAUGGUUAGCUGGUCUGAGAGGAUGAUCAGCCACACUGGAACUGAGACACGGUCCAGACUCCUACGGGAGGCAGCAGUGGGGAAUUUUGCGCAAUGGGGGAAACCCUGACGCAGCAACGCCGCGUGAGUGAUGAAGGCUUUCGGGUCGUAAAGCUCUGUCAGAGGGGAAGAAAUGAGAUUGGCUGAUAUCCAAUUUUCUUGACGGUACCCUCAAAGGAAGCACCGGCUAACUCCGUGCCAGCAGCCGCGGUAA
This 537-nucleotide ribosomal RNA is filed under the name uncultured bacterium. RNAcentral's name for it is "bacterial SSU rRNA". It matches the Rfam family "Bacterial small subunit ribosomal RNA", at positions 8 to 523 of the family's 1533-position model. The record is from RNAcentral.